UCUUGAAUUCUCAUGUUUGAGCAAAAAAUAUAAUUGUUACUCUAUGGAACUAUCAUUUUAGAUACAGUUGUGAUAAAAAAAAAAGCUGAAAUAGGCAGAUCUUCCUUUUACAAUUUCGCCUUUAAAGCAGUACUGAGUGUCAGCGAAUACAAUGAGUAAUACCAAAUGAGCAGUAUGGUAAUAAUAAUUAAAUAACUACAUUAACUUAUUUUGUUUAGGAGAAUCCAUCCUCAACAUACAGGAUUCUGAAGACUAUCCACCUUCAAGAUCACCGUAAUUUUAUAUAGUUUCAGAGUUAUCUGCCAAUGAUAGUGUUUCAGUCACAUUAUGUAUGUCACAUAGCUACACUACAUCACCUGUAGCAAAAAGAA
Chelonia mydas (Green sea turtle) is the source of this 371-nucleotide long non-coding RNA. RefSeq lists it as uncharacterized. Lineage: Eukaryota; Metazoa; Chordata; Testudines; Cheloniidae. The record is from RefSeq and is a predicted model, not a curated record. The transcript is spliced from 2 exons.